RNAcentral lists this ribosomal RNA (84 nucleotides) under Ulva intestinalis (hollow green seaweed). Its description in RNAcentral is "partial 5.8S rRNA". It matches the Rfam family "5.8S ribosomal RNA", at positions 77 to 154 of the family's 154-position model. From Rfam's summary of the family: 5.8S ribosomal RNA (5.8S rRNA) is a component of the large subunit of the eukaryotic ribosome. It is transcribed by RNA polymerase I as part of the 45S precursor that also contains 18S and 28S rRNA. The record is from RNAcentral. Lineage: Eukaryota; Viridiplantae; Chlorophyta; Ulvophyceae; Ulvales; Ulvaceae.
GAAUUCCGUGAAUCAUCGAAUCUUUGAACGCACAUUGCCGGUCGAGUCUUCGGAUGAGACCACAUCUGCCUCAGCGUCGGGAUA